Long non-coding RNA from Cyprinus carpio (common carp), 1306 nucleotides. The record is from Ensembl. Lineage: Eukaryota; Metazoa; Chordata; Actinopteri; Cypriniformes; Cyprinidae.
CAUCAUUUACAGUCAGUUUACAGUCCCUCUUCAGCACUGGGUAUGUACUUCAGUAAAUUAUUCCACAUCACUGAUUUAUAAACGGCUGCUGAGGUAGUAUUCUCAAGUGAAGCGAGUUGAACACUUAACAACAGAAUAAGACCAGUGCAUUAGUUUGUAACUCACUUUAUUUUAUAUAGUGUUUUUGUUGCUGUUGCUGCUAACUCAACAUAUUUCUUCAUCUCAUUAACAUCAUCAUCUCCAGGUCACACUGAACAGCAGAUUGUUGUCUCAAGCCAGUGCUGAUCAAUAACAGUUUAGCUGCAGUAUGUCAGAGAAGAGAGGAAAGAUGAGUCUCUCACAGAAACAGAGGUAAGACUGAGUCUGUUCUCGGAGAAUCAUUUAAACACUUUCUGUGAAGAUUAAAACCCCAUCAAUUAUUACGUCUUUUUCUUGCUUUUGCCAUGAAUGAAAUGUAGUUUCUCCAAGAUACUCUCUUUAAACAACCACAUCUGUGUAAAGAAAAGAGCACCAUGUUUGUAUGUUUCUGAAUUAUCUGUACUGUUAACCUCUCAGAAACUGUAGAAAUCAACAAAUCAUCCAUAAUUUAUCAUAUAAAGUUGAUUGCAUUACACGUUUGGUGUUUCAUAUUAAGUAGGUAAUAAAUGUAAAUAAUGGGCAAACUAGAUAUCAUUUAGAAUUAAUACAAAUAUACAUCAAACUCCUACAGUGUAAAUUAGUGGAUAUUUUUAAAGGGAAAUGUAAAAGAUUUUUGUCUCUUUCUCAGACUCGUUCACUGCACACAGGUCAUUGUUCAUUAUAUUCAUUGCUAUAGAUACAAGAUAUUGUAUGAGCCAGCUGUGUUUUUUAGUGAAGUAGAAAUUGUGCAAGAUGAGAAAGCAGCGCUUCACUUGACUGUUAGAUGAUUCCUUUAUAACAGACCUGAUGAGUUAGUGAACUAGUUUGUGUUCAACUAAACAAACUCCAAUUUGGCACACAAAAUCUCUUCAAAUGAGACUGAAGUAUCUGUUAUAGUUCUCUCUGUUCUUUGUGUCAUUAGUGUAAGAUCAGGCUCACAUGUGUCCAGCUCUGUGUCUGUGAAGAGUGACCGGUCAAAAGAUAAUCCACCGGACUUCAGUGAGAAAAAAACAUCAUCUACCAAAAGAGUUCAAUAUGAGACAUUAGAUUCAGACGUCCAGACUCACAGGAACUACAAGAAUUUCAAAAACAAUCUCCUGCAGACCUUCCAGGUAGAAAAACACAUUUUCAAAAAUAUUAAUCUUUUAUAACAAAUAAAUAGUUCACUGAACAAAGCUUGUAAGAAUAU